This 29-nucleotide small RNA is filed under the name Bombyx mori (domestic silkworm). Its description in RNAcentral is "piRNA piR-bmo-2030358". The record is from RNAcentral. Lineage: Eukaryota; Metazoa; Arthropoda; Insecta; Lepidoptera; Bombycidae.
UCCUCGUACUGGUGGCGCCAUCUCGUCGC